AGCGUAGGAGCCGGGCCAAAGAAGGCACUCACCCCAUGAAGCCCUUCGGGGUGGAUUAGUGGCGAACGGGUGAGUAACACGUGGGCAAUCUGCCCUGCACUCUGGGACAAGCCCUGGAAACGGGGUCUAAUACCGGAUACUGAUCGCCUUGGGCAUCCUUGGUGAUCGAAAGCUCCGGCGGUGCAGGAUGAGCCCGCGGCCUAUCAGCUUGUUGGUGAGGUAAUGGCUCACCAAGGCGACGACGGGUAGCCGGCCUGAGAGGGCGACCGGCCACACUGGGACUGAGACACGGCCCAGACUCCUACGGGAGGCAGCAGUGGGGAAUAUUGCACAAUGGGCGAAAGCCUGAUGCAGCGCGGCCGCGUGAGGGAUGACGGCCUUCGGGUUGUAAACCUCUUUCAGCAGGGAAGAAGCGAAAGUGACGGUACCUGCAGAAGAAGCGCCGGCUAACUACGUGCCAGCAGCCGCGGUAAUACGUAGGGCGCGAGCGUUGUCCGGAAUUAUUGGGCGUAAAGAGCUCGUAGGCGGCUUGUCGCGUCGGUUGUGAAAGCCCGGGGCUUAACCCCGGGUCUGCAGUCGAUACGGGCAGGCUAGAGUUCGGUAGGGGAGAUCGGAAUUCCUGGUGUAGCGGUGAAAUGCGCAGAUAUCAGGAGGAACACCGGUGGCGAAGGCGGAUCUCUGGGCCGAUACUGACGCUGAGGAGCGAAAGCGUGGGGAGCGAACAGGAUUAGAUACCCUGGUAGUCCACGCCGUAAACG
Molecule: ribosomal RNA, 758 nt
Filed under: Streptomyces sp. DOSMB-SP6
Lineage: Bacteria; Bacillati; Actinomycetota; Actinomycetes; Kitasatosporales; Streptomycetaceae
Description: bacterial SSU rRNA
Rfam family: Bacterial small subunit ribosomal RNA
Source: RNAcentral